GCGUUAUAUAAAACAGAAGGUUAACACUCACUUCACUGAGGGUGGAAAAGAGGUUAGUAACCUUUAUCACACAUACUGCGGUUAAGGGUUGCCGCCAACUCUGUGGCAUCUAACCAGGUUUUCUU
This is a small nuclear RNA of Dromiciops gliroides (monito del monte), 125 nucleotides long. Lineage: Eukaryota; Metazoa; Chordata; Mammalia; Microbiotheria; Microbiotheriidae. The record is from RefSeq and is a predicted model, not a curated record.